UAACUCCAGGGACCCGUCAAACAAUAAAGUAAUGCUUUCUGAAAAGGAAUUUCAUUUGGCCCCUUCUGGAAGGGAAAAAAUAAGAAAGCAAAGAAAAGCCAUAAUUCUCAUCGUUAAUAUUUUCUUUCCACUAUAGAUAGUACUUUCAUGGCAUAUCCUGCUGGUGACCAAAAAUUUGAAAGCCACUCUAAAGAGGAAAACUAUGUCUAGGAAGGAUAUAUGCCCAGCAGUCCACUGGUUGGCAGGACCAUAUCACCAUCCCACCUUUAAAUGGCACGAGGAUAAGGGAAGCAAUCAUCUAUGUGGCCCUCCUCUACAGAGCAAGGGUGUCCAGCUUUUCUAAGAUGCCCAUGGCUAAGGCCUUAUUUCUACCUGGAAUCAUGCCUGCUGCCUCAAAGUUAUUCUCAUCUCAAGUCCUUUCUCUUCCAAGGUAGAGUUUUCUGUGCAGGAGCUGGACAAACAGGAAAGAAAGCUUUCAAAAGCUCCAUGCCUUGGCAAGACCAGUAAAGAUUCAGCACAGAAACAUUUCAGGCACACCACCUGCUGAGCUUUCCCAAUUUAACAAACUUAUGUGAGGUCUGGAGAGAGCAAAUGAAUGUGUUUUGAAAAUAGGACCAACUGUGCAUCCAUUUAAGUGGUAGUUUCUGAGGUCAGUACCAUUCCUAACAUUACCCUCAAAACCGUUCAGAGGUCCACUAGCUCCUGGCCAGCCUUAAAAAAUACUUUUCCCUAUUAAGUUAAUUUGAAAGACAAAUCCAGCCAUUGGAUCCAGCUCUUUUAAAGACAUUUGUUGGAAUCAUCAUGUGGAGGACAAAGGGCUAAAGGGAUUUGUGAACUGAAAAUAAAGGACAUUAUAAGAUGACA
This 864-nucleotide long non-coding RNA is filed under the name Monodelphis domestica (gray short-tailed opossum). RNAcentral describes it as "lncRNA (ENSMODG00000049087.1)". The record is from RNAcentral. Lineage: Eukaryota; Metazoa; Chordata; Mammalia; Didelphimorphia; Didelphidae.